ACCAAAGCACGCAGACUGUUUUUAUUUAUAGGCUGUUUUCAAACUUCAAUUUCAAAUGUUUUUCUUAACAAGUUUUUAUUUUCUAAGAACAGUUUGAAUUGAGGUGUGUUCCGCCUCCUCAUUCAUUCACAUAAAAAAUAGUCUUUUUUUACUUUUGCGGACAAUUUAAUUUUUGGGACAUUUCUGACCGGGACAAAAUUCCCCAAGCAUUUUCCAAUUGUUUGUGCAGUUCAAGUCUGCAGACAUUUGCUCAUCUCCCGUCAGAACAGGAUCUGCACACGUGUUGACAUUUUCCAUCUGUUGCCCUCAUUGUUUUCCUUACUAAUAAUAACUUUGGAAAUGUGUGCGUUUCUAUCAAAUGGCGCAGCGGUCAAAGGCACUGCACAUCAGUGCUAGAGACGUCACUACAGACUCCCUGGUUCAAAUCCAGGCUGUAUCACAACUGGCUGUGAUUGGGAGUCCCAUAGGGCAGCGCACAAUUGGCCCAGCGUUGUCCGAGUUUGGCCGGUGUAGGCCAUCAUAGGUAAAUAAUCAUUUGUUGUUAAAUAAAAUUAAACAUAUGACCAUGGUUUGUUUAUGUGGUCUAUUCAGCAUGGCUCUGUUCUGCCCUGCCUUGCCCCCUUGUGGAGCUCAAAAGUUACUUUCUUACUGUUAGAACUCAAAUCUGGGAUUUUGUCAAUGCAAUAAACUAUUUUUAUGUUA
This is a non-coding RNA of Salmo salar (Atlantic salmon), 702 nucleotides long. The record is from RefSeq and is a predicted model, not a curated record. Lineage: Eukaryota; Metazoa; Chordata; Actinopteri; Salmoniformes; Salmonidae.